UGGGGAAUAUUGCACAAUGGGCGCAAGCCUGAUGCAGCCAUGCCGCGUGUGUGAAGAAGGCCUUCGGGUUGUAAAGCACUUUCAGCGAGGAGGAAGGUGGUGAGCUUAAUACGCUCAUCAAUUGACGUUACUCGCAGAAGAAGCACCGGCUAACUCCGUGCCAGCAGCCGCGGUAAUACGGAGGGUGCAAGCGUUAAUCGGAAUUACUGGGCGUAAAGCGCACGCAGGCGGUUUGUUAAGUCAGAUGUGAAAUCCCCGGGCUCAACCUGGGAACUGCAUUUGAAACUGGCAAGCUAGAGUCUCGUAGAGGGGGGUAGAAUUCCAGGUGUAGCGGUGAAAUGCGUAGAGAUCUGGAGGAAUACCGGUGGCGAAGGCGGCCCCCCUGGACGAAGACUGACGCUCAGGUGCGAAAAGCGUGGGGAGCAAAACAGGAUUAGAUACCCUGGUAGUCCACGCUGUAAACGAUGUCGAUUUUGGAGGUUGUGCCCUUGAGGCGUGGCUUCCGGAGCUAACGCGUUAAAUCGACCGCCUGGGGAGUACGGCCNCAAGGUUAAAACUCAAAUGAAUUGAC
RNAcentral lists this ribosomal RNA (571 nucleotides) under uncultured bacterium. Its description in RNAcentral is "partial 16S ribosomal RNA". It matches the Rfam family "Bacterial small subunit ribosomal RNA", at positions 355 to 914 of the family's 1533-position model. The record is from RNAcentral.